This 253-nucleotide ribosomal RNA is filed under the name uncultured bacterium. RNAcentral's name for it is "partial 16S ribosomal RNA". It matches the Rfam family "Bacterial small subunit ribosomal RNA", at positions 524 to 776 of the family's 1533-position model. The record is from RNAcentral.
UACGUAGGGGGCAAGCGUUGUCCGGAUUCAUUGGGCGUAAAGGGCGCGUAGGCGGGAUGGCAAGUCGGUCGUGAAAUCUCUCGGCUCAACCGAGAAACGUCGGCCGAUACUGCCGUUCUUGAGGGAUGCAGAGGAGACUGGAAUUCCCGGUGUAGCGGUGAAAUGUGUAGAGAUCGGGAGGAACACCGGUGGCGAAGGCGGGUCUCUGGGCAUUUCCUGACGCUGAGGCGCGAAAGCGUGGGGAGCAAACGGG